GUUGACAGAAGAUAGAGAGCACAGAUGAUGAUAUGCACAUACACAUAUACGGAUGGAACGCAAUUGCAUCUCACUCCUUUGUGCUCUCUAGGCUUCUGUCAUCCA
RNAcentral lists this non-coding RNA (105 nucleotides) under Ammopiptanthus mongolicus. The record is from RNAcentral. Lineage: Eukaryota; Viridiplantae; Streptophyta; Magnoliopsida; Fabales; Fabaceae.